RNAcentral lists this ribosomal RNA (340 nucleotides) under uncultured soil bacterium. Its description in RNAcentral is "bacterial SSU rRNA". It matches the Rfam family "Bacterial small subunit ribosomal RNA", at positions 26 to 394 of the family's 1533-position model. The record is from RNAcentral.
AGAACGAACGCUGGCGGCAUGCCUAAUACAUGCAAGUCGAACGAACACUUCGGUGUUAGUGGCGCACGGGUGCGUAACGCGUGGGAAUCUGCCCUUGGGUUCGGAAUAACAGUUGGAAACGACUGCUAAUACCGGAUGAUGACGAAAGUCCAAAGAUUUAUCGCCCAGGGAUGAGCCCGCGUAGAUUAGCUAGUUGGUGAGGUAAGGCUCACCAAGGCGACGAUCCUUAGCUGGUCUGAGAGGAUGAUCAGCCACACUGGGACUGAGACACGGCCCAGACUCCGUACGGGAGCAGCGAGAGGGAAUAUGGACUAAGUGGGCGACAAGCCUGAUCCAGCAA